CAAUAGCGUAUAUUUAAGUUGUUGCAGUUAAAAAGCUCGUAGUUGGAUUUCGGAUGGGAUUUGCCGGUCCGUCGUUACGAUGUGCACUGGCCAGUCCUAUCUUGUUGUCGGGGACUAGCUCCUUGGAUUCACUUCCUGGGACUAGGAGCUGACGAGGUUACUUUGAGUAAAUUAGAGUGUUCAAAGCAAGCCUACGCUCUGAAUACAUUAGCAUGGAAUAACACGAUAGGACUCUGGCUUAUCUUGUUGGUCUGUGAGACCAGAGUAAUGAUUAAGAGGGACAGUCGGGGACAUUCGUAUUUCAUUGUCAGAGGUGUAAUUCUUGGAUUUAUGAAAGACGAACUUCUGCGAAAGCAUUUGUCAAGGAUGUUUUCAUUGA
Molecule: ribosomal RNA, 379 nt
Filed under: uncultured eukaryote
Lineage: Eukaryota
Description: partial 18S ribosomal RNA
Rfam family: Eukaryotic small subunit ribosomal RNA
Source: RNAcentral